CCCUUAGAUGUUCUGGGCCGCACGCGCGCUACACUGAUGCAUUCAACGAGCCUAUCCUUGACCGACAGGUCCGGGUAAUCUUUGAAUCUGCAUCGUGACGGGGAUAGAUUAUUGCAAUUAUUAAUCUUCAACGAGGAAUGCCUAGUAGGCGCAAGUCAUCAGCUUGCGUCGAUUACGUCCCUGCCCUUUGUACACACCGCCCGUCGCUCCUACCGAUUGGGUGUGCUGGUGAAAUGUUCGGAUCGGACGUUUGUCGCGGUUUCCGCGUCAUGUGGCUGAGAAGUUCAUUAAACCCUCCCACCUAGAGGAAGGAGAAGUCGUAACA
RNAcentral lists this ribosomal RNA (325 nucleotides) under uncultured eukaryote. RNAcentral's name for it is "partial 18S ribosomal RNA". It matches the Rfam family "Eukaryotic small subunit ribosomal RNA", at positions 1470 to 1796 of the family's 1831-position model. The record is from RNAcentral.